GUGCUCACUUCGGCAGCACAUGUACUAAGGUUGGAACAACAUAGAGAACAUUAGCAUGUCCCCUGCACAAUGAUGACACGUUUGUAAAGUGUUGCCUAUUUUU
This is a small nuclear RNA of Nycticebus coucang (slow loris), 103 nucleotides long. The record is from RefSeq and is a predicted model, not a curated record. NCBI's taxonomy places the organism in Eukaryota, Metazoa, Chordata, Mammalia, Primates, Lorisidae.